CGUGGAUCAGGCCACGUUAAAAAGCGGUUUAAGCCUGAUGCGUCUGGUCGCUUUCGAUCGGGGUCCGU
This 68-nucleotide ribozyme is filed under the name unclassified sequences. Its description in RNAcentral is "pistol ribozyme". It matches the Rfam family "Pistol ribozyme". The record is from RNAcentral.